This is a long non-coding RNA of Cucumis sativus (cucumber), 1686 nucleotides long. RefSeq lists it as uncharacterized. The record is from RefSeq and is a predicted model, not a curated record. Lineage: Eukaryota; Viridiplantae; Streptophyta; Magnoliopsida; Cucurbitales; Cucurbitaceae. The transcript has 3 exons.
ACAACUUCUUGAAUUCUCCAAGAUUUUCUAUCAAAGAUUUGUUGCCAUCCAUCUUGAAGGUAAAGAACAUCUCCCUUACGUAUACAUGGUUAGGUAGAUCUUUGGACUUAUAAAUUUUAUCCAAUUUUGUCUACAUUUCAUAAGUUGUUUCUUCAUCAAUGACUUCCCUAAAAACAUUUGUCACUUAUGUUUAAAACUAUGGCACCAUAGGCUACAUUCUCCAUAGUUUCUUUGUCUUCUUGAGUCAUUGUUUUAGGUAGCUUUUUUGGAUCCUUGAGGGCUUUCAAUGUCUUUUGUUGGUCAACUAUGGCUUUGAUCUUGGCUUUCCAUAAGGCUCUGAUACCAAUUUGUAAGGGAAGCUACGUGUAUGGACACAAAGAAACCACCUAUUUGCAUGCAAUGAAGAUGGUGAGAUGAAGAGAAGAUGAAGAGAGGAAGAAGGAGAAGAUGAACACACAGGAUUUUAGAGUGGUUCAGCAAGUGCCUAUGUCUACUGUGCUUGAGAGUAAGAUAUUAUUUCAGUUUUUUUUUUUUUGUUAUCAUCAAAUAUCAUAGUGAUAUAUGGUAUUUGUAAACUUUUCUAUGACUCUUAGUUAAAACUCUAGUUAAAUUAAAAGUUAAAACUAACAAAGGAUAAACUGUUUUAGUAAAGGGUCUCCCACAAAUGGUUUGGUUCCAAAUUUGAAACCAAAACAUUUUCGGUUUCUGUGGUUCAACCCUAUUAAGAACUGUCUUUUCAGUUUGUUCCAUGGUUUGGCCCAAAAUUAGAUUGAACCGAACCAUGUAGACCUGUACCUCCUAAAAGACUCACUUGAUAUACAUGGUAUACUACUAAUAUAUACCUUUUACACUCGAUAUUCUUGAUACCAUUGAUAUAUUACUUAUACUGCUAAAAAUAUGUCAAGAUAUUUAAGGGGUUGUUUGCCCCUCAAAUUAGCUGGAGGUAAACUAAUCUAAUACUAGGAUUAUGGUUUCCCUAAUUUAUCUCACUCAUCUUUCUCUUUUCUUGCUACAGACAAUUGUACUUAUUCUCCACUCAUUUCCUUUAUCAUUGUUCUUCAUUCUCCAUUUCUCCUUUGUCAUUGUUCCUCACUCCCCCCUCUUUUAUUCUCUCUACUUUCUCCAUCUUUUCCUUCUUCGAAUUGCUUAUCUCCCUCUAUUUUUUUCUGUUUACUUUCUGUCUUUCGCUUCUUCGAAUCGUUCAUCUCCAUCUUGAAUCGUUGGCCAAAUCGUUGGCUAUUUUAUACCUCCCUCUUGCUGCUCCUAUGGAAACCCCAAAACGAUUGUUAAUUUUUGAAAUUUCUAUCGUUGGUGUUCAUACCAUGGUGGAUUCAAAGAAUGGUAGGGUUUUGGCUUUGGUUUAAGCAGGGUUUAGGGGAAGCGAGCACGGUAGGAAUGCAAGGUCCAUCACUUCUUAGUUUGUAUCCCAAACAAUUAUCGAUGAUGAGGUCGAUAAUUUGUGAAAUUUAUUUUUCUCUGUUGUUAUAUUUUCUGCCAUUUGUUGUUUUUGUGAUGCCAAUGAUAAGUUUUUUUUUUUCUUCUGAAAAAUACUUCAUUUCAUUUUUGUGUAUUUUAUUGAUUUUUCAGAUGUUGGUAAUUCAUUCAUUUUGAGUGUUCUGUGCUUUGGGGAUUUUGAUCAAUGGAUCGAUAUUUUAUAUUUGAAUUCAAUUUUCUUUCCUUCAUCAA